RNAcentral lists this small nuclear RNA (120 nucleotides) under Puccinia sorghi. Lineage: Eukaryota; Fungi; Basidiomycota; Pucciniomycetes; Pucciniales; Pucciniaceae. The record is from RNAcentral.
AAAAAAAUCUUAACCCGUGGGUGAAUCCAUUCUGACUACAUGUGUCAUCCUUGUGCAGGGGCCAUGCUAAUCUUCUCUGUAUCGUUCCAAUUUUAACGUAUGCACCGCCGAAGCGGGCGU